CUUCCAGACUCCUACGGGAGGCAGCAGUGAGGAAUAUUGGUCAAUGGGCGGGAGCCUGAACCAGCCAAGUCGCGUGAGGGAUGACGGCCCUAUGGGUUGUAAACCUCUUUUGCCGGGGAGCAAAGUGCCGCACAUGUGCGGUUUGGAGAGUACCCGGAGAAAAGGCAUCGGCUAACUCCGUGCCAGCAGCCGCGGUAAUACGGAGGAUGCGAGCGUUAUCCGGAUUUAUUGGGUUUAAAGGGUGCGUAGGGGGACGCUAAAGUCAGGGGUAAAAUUGGGGGGCGCAACCGCGCCGAGCCGUUGAAACUGGGUGCCUUGAGUGGGCGAGAAGUACGCGGAAUGCGUGGUGUAGCGGUGAAAUGCAUAGAUAUUAGGAGGAACACCAGUGGCGAAGGCGGCCUGCUGGGCUUUAACUGACGCUGAGGCUCGAAAGCGUGGGUAGCAAACAGGAUUAGAUACCCGUGUAC
RNAcentral lists this ribosomal RNA (467 nucleotides) under uncultured bacterium. RNAcentral's name for it is "partial 16S ribosomal RNA". It matches the Rfam family "Bacterial small subunit ribosomal RNA", at positions 328 to 793 of the family's 1533-position model. The record is from RNAcentral.